RNAcentral lists this ribosomal RNA (425 nucleotides) under uncultured bacterium. Its description in RNAcentral is "partial 16S ribosomal RNA". It matches the Rfam family "Bacterial small subunit ribosomal RNA", at positions 354 to 796 of the family's 1533-position model. The record is from RNAcentral.
GUGGGGAAUAUUGGACAAUGGGCGCAAGCCUGAUCCAGCCAUGCCGCGUGAGUGAUGAAGGCCCUAGGGUUGUAAAGCUCUUUCACCGGUGAAGAUAAUGACGGUAACCGGAGAAGAAGCCCCGGCUAACUUCGUGCCAGCAGCCGCGGUAAUACGAAGGGGGCUAGCGUUGUUCGGAUUUACUGGGCGUAAAGCGCACGUAGGCGGAUUGGUCAGUUAGAGGUGAAAUCCAGGAGCUCAACUCCAGAACUGCCUUUAAUACUGCCAGUCUAGAGUCCAGAAGAGGUGAGUGGAACUCCUAGUGUAGAGGUGGAAUUCGUAGAUAUUAGGAAGAACACCAGUGGCGAAGGCGGCUCACUGGUCUGGUACUGACGCUGAGGUGCGAAAGCGUGGGGAGCAAACAGGAUUAGAAACCCCAGUAGUCC